AUGAGUUUCUUGGUCAGGCUCCUCCAUCCGGGGCAGCACAUCCCCCACAUGGGCUCUCGGUCGCUGGUGUCACUGGGUUGUGCAGCUCGGACUGUGUUGCUUAGCAACGAAAUAACAAACAAGAACAGGCUGUCGAGUACUUCCAGGACUGCGCAGAAUUCCCUGGCCCUUCCGGCUCAGUACCCGCCCCCCAGGGACAGGAAUGGGACUCCAUCACCGACAGUUUGCUCCGCUUUUGAACUUCAGAUGGGUGGGAUGAGGCUGGGUGGACCAUUGACUCCGUCCGACUUGUUGCGCUCAUCAUGGCGUCCGUGAGAGGUCCCCGUUGUGUGUAGCUGGAGGAGUUGGAUUCCCUCUGUUCCCAGCAACAGAACUGUUAGGGCUUUGAACUUCAUCUGCUGCCUGGUUUCUCUGCCUCACCUUUGCCACUAGAGCUCCUGAUGGCUAUCCAUUCGAGCCCAAAUGAAGCUCCCCAAGGGUCUUUAUGUAUUGGCUCAUCUCCGCAAGUGGCUGGGGCUGCCCUAGCCUCUGUUCCAAGGACUCUUGGCCCAUUUUUCCCCCACUGGUCUGUGUGGCUAAGACCCUACAUCCCUUUUUCUGGCGCCACCUGAAUUAGGGUGUCACAGAGCCCAGGUGGCCAAGAUAGCCAUAGGCAUGAGAAUCUUGUUCCCUCCAGACCAUUUCAUUCCUUUCCAGUUAGUUCAAGUUCUUCGAAUUUUUUUCUUUUUUUUUUUUUUAAGAUUUUAUUUAUUUAUUUGACAGAUCACAAGUAGACAGAGAGGCAGGCAGAGAGAGAGAGAGAGAGAGAGGGAAGCAGGCUCCCUGCUGAGCAGAGAGCCCGAUGCGGGCCUUGAUCCCAGGACCCUGAGAUCAUGACCUGAGCCAAAGGCAGCGGCUUAACCCACUGAGCCACCCAGGUGCCCGAGUUCUUCGAAUUUUUUAAACUGUUUAUUUUGAAGUACGUUUACAGAAAAGUUGCAGUGAUGGUACAGAUUCUUCUCUACAUUUCACCCACAAUUCCCAAAUGUUAAUAUUUUGCGCAUUUGCUUUACCAUUCUUUCUCUCUAUGAUGUAGGAAAGAUGUUAGGGUUCAAAGGCAACAGCCAAGAAAAAAUCCUUGACACGUCUUUGAUGCAAAAAGAAUUUCAUUAAAGCACAGGGACAGGACCCAUGGGAAGAAAGAGCUGCCCUGAGAUCACGAGGAGUGGCCCCUUACAGACUUUCAAGUAGGGAAGAGGUUAGGGUAAGUCUCUCAGGAAUUUUAGAAACAAGGUUUCCGGAACCUUGAGGGAGUUAGCUAUCUGGAAAAGGUCAUUUAUUGCCAUCUAAUAAAACCUUAGUCAUGAGACUCUUCAGAGUCUCAUGCUUGGGUCAUAUGCUUGGGAGAUGAUUGCCAACAUGUAUCUUGGGGGAUUUAGAUAUGAAAGAAUUUCUAAAGGAAGUUUUAUAUGUGAAAGUAGACUCACAGGAUCCUGGGGGUCGGGCUGGGGUUACCUUUUGCCCUUAGCAGAGUAUUAACAUUGAGGCAGUUGAGUCCCUAGAGGAAUGUCACUCUGCCUGUUUCAAGGACUUGUCAGUGGGCUGCAGAGAGUAGGGAAAUUUAAGUUUUUCUUCUGUCUUUGUUUCCCAGAUCAUCCAUAUAUCAAUAAUUUGCGUACAUUAAUUUUUCUAAGCUGCUGGAGAAGAUAUUGUAGACAUUGUGCCUCUUUGCCCCUAAAUACUUCACUAUAUGUUUCUAUUUUUUUUAAAGGACAUUUUCAUACAUAACCAUGGUACAUUUAUCAAAAUGAGGAAAGCAGCCCCUGGAUGGUUCAGUCAGUUAAGCCUUGACUCUUGAUUUCAGCUCAGGUCAUGAACUCAGGGUCAUGAGAUUGAGCCCCAUGUCUGGCUCCAUGCUUGGUGGGGGGGGGGGUCUCCUUGGGAUUCUCUCUCUUCUUCUGCCCCUUGCAUGCCCGCACACACUCUCUUUCUAGAUAAAAAAUCUUGGGACACCAAGGGUGGCUCAGUCGGUUAAGUGUCUGCCUUCGGCUGAGGUCAUGAUCCCAGGGUCCUGGGAUCAAGUCCCACAUCGGACUCCCUGCUCAGUGGGGAAAUAGCUUCUCCCUCUGCCCGCUCCUCCCCCUGUCUGUGUGCUCCCUUUCUCUCUGACAAAUAAAUAAAUAAAUAAAACCUUUAAAAAACUUUUUAUAAACAAAUAAAUAAAAUCUUUUUAAAAAUGAGGAAAUUAACAUUGGCAUACCCGUAUUAUAGAACUACAGACCUCAUGAAAAUUCUGCCGGUCAGCUACUGAUGGGUGUGUUUGUGAAAGUCGCAGGAUUUUUCAAAUUAUUUUUUUAUUAUGGUAAAAUACAUAUUGCAUGAGAUUUAGCAUUUUAACCUUAACUUAAAAAUAUUCUCUAUAAUUUUUAAAGUUUUUAUUUUUGUUCCAGUUAGUUAACAUGCAGCAGUAUACUAGUUUCAGGUGUGCGAUAAAGUGACUGGACACUUCCGUACGUCACCCCGUGCUCAUCACGACAAGUGCUCUCCUCUCCUUCACCCCCGCCCCCUGUUUCCCCCACCUCCCCAACCUUUCCCCUCUGGUAACCGUCAGUUUGUUCUCCUUAGCUAAGAGUCUGUUUCUUGGUUUUCUUCUUUCUCUUUUUUUUUUCCUUUGCUCAUUUGUUUUGUUUCUUAAAUUCCACAUAUGAGUGAAAUCAUACCAUAUUUGUCUCUCUCUGACUGGCUUAUUUUGCCUAGCAUUAUACAUUUAUACUCACUAGCUCCAUCCAUGUGGUUACUAAUGGCAGGAUUUUACUCUUUCUUAUGGCUGAAUUUUACAUAUAUAUAUAUAUAAUCUCCACGUCUUUAGCCAUUGGUCAACUGAUGGAUGUCUGGGAUGCUUCCAUAUCUGGCUAUUGUAAAUAAUGCUGCUGUAAACAUAGGAGUACAUGUUUCCCUUUGAAUUAGUGUUUUUGUAUUCUUUGGGUAGUCUGAUGACUGGAUGGUAAGGUAGUUCUAUGUUUAACCUCCAUACUGUUUCCACAAUGCCUGUACCAGUGUGCACUCCCACCAACAGUGUACAAGUGUUCCUUUUCCUCCACCUCCUCGCCAACACCUGUUGUCCAUUAUCACGAUUUUUAAGCAUACAAUCCGUGGCAUUAAACUCAUUCACAGUGUUGUGCAGCCAUUACCACUGUCUUCAUCCAUGUGAGCUGCCAUGGUAAAAAUACAGUAGAUCACGUGGCCUACAAACAGAGACAUUUACUUCUCACAGGUCUAGAGGCUGCAAGUCCAAGAUCAAGGUGCGGACAAGUCCGGUGGCUGGCGAGGAGGCAUCGUGUCCUCACAUGGCAGAAGGGGCAAGGGAGCUCUCUGGGGUCUCUCUUAGAAGAAUACUAAUCUCGUUCACAAAGGCUCUGCCCUCAGGACCUACUCUCCUCUCAAAGGCUCUACCUCCAAACACCAUCACGUUGGGGAUGACGUUUCACUCUAUGAAUUUGGGGGCGCUGCAAACAUUCAGUCUCUAGGGAACACCAUCGACAUGCACACCAUCUAUCAUCAUCUCAACCCUGUACUCACUGAACAGUAACCCCAUUCCAACUUCUUCAGCCCCUGGAAACCACCAUCUCUUCUAUUUCUGAAUUUGGCAACUCUGAGUACUUCACAAAAGUGGAAUCCCGCAAUAUUUAUCCUUUUUGACUGGAUUAUUUCAUUUGGCAUAAGGUUAAGAUCCUCAAGAUUAAUCCACGUUGUAGCCUGACUAAUGUCCUUUGAAAAGAAAGGGGGGAAGAUACCAUUUUUCCCAGUCCAGGAUCCAGCAUCAAAUCCACAGGGCAGCUAGGUGUCAUGCCUCUUUAGUCCCUUCCAAUAAGGAAUGGUUUCUUAAUCUUUCUUUGUUGUUCAUGACAUGGGCAUUUUUAUAGGAUAUAGGCCAGUUAUUUUGUAGAAAUACCUUUCAAUCUGAUUUGUUUGCUAGCCCCUCACAAACUGAGGUUAUGAAUUUUUGGCAGGAGCAGCACCAAAAUGACAGGACCCUCAGUGGUAUUGUAUCAGAGGCUCACGUUGUCCAUUUGUCCCAUUACCGGUGACACUAAUUUUUAUUUUAUUUUAUUUAUUUAUUUGACAGACAGAGAUCACAAGAGAGGCAGGCAGAGAGAGAGGAGGAAGCAGGCUCCCCGCUGAGCAGAGAGCCCGAUGUGGGACUCGAUCCCACAACCCUGAGAUCAUGACCUGAGCUGAAGGCAGAGGCCCAACCCACUAAGCCACCCAGGCGCCCCGGUGACACGAAUUUUGAUCCUUUGGCCAAGGGGGCUGCCAGGUUUCUCCACUGGAAAGUUGUUACUUUCCUUUUACGGUUAGUAUCCUGCGAGGAGAGAGUAAGACUGUAUACAUAUCCCAUUUCUCAUUAAAUUCUCACCCACUACUUCAGCAUCCACUGGCGAUUCUCUCUGACACAAUUAAUGCUCUGAUGGCAAAUGGUAUCUCAACGUCCAUUACUCCUUUGACACUUACUAGUUGAUAUUCCACCAUAAGAAGAGUUUUCUCUUCUCCCCAAUUAUUUUUUCAUUUACAUAAUUAUAUCUGCCAGCACUUGUGGAUUUUUACUUUACCCUAUGAUUGGGAUAGGUAAAAUAAGAAUGGUCAUAAUUCAAUACUAUCGGUAUUGUUGGUCCAAUUAUCCCAGAUUUGUCGAAAGGGAGUUCCUCCAAGCUAACUUUCUUGGGUUCUUUGGCUAAGUUCCUGUCAUUCUUUGAGGACUUCCUCGCUGUCUCACAGAAUAUUACCAUCUGGUUUCAUUUGUAUCUUUCCUAUCUGAGCCCUGAAAUUAGCCAUUUAUCCAAAGAGCUCUGGCUUCUGUGAGGGAGAAUGAUAUUGAGAAGCCCAGAUCUGGGCAUCGGGCGAGCUUGGACACCCUCCUGGCUGGUGAAAUGACUGCGGCAUGUUCACCUGGACAGGCCAGCAUCAGCUCCACGACACUUUCGUUCUUCGCAAGUGCCUUCACAUACCGGUUCUUGUCCUCCGUUGACUGCUACAUUAUAGAU
This 5021-nucleotide long non-coding RNA is filed under the name Mustela putorius furo (domestic ferret). RNAcentral's name for it is "lncRNA (ENSMPUG00000027112.1)". The record is from RNAcentral. Lineage: Eukaryota; Metazoa; Chordata; Mammalia; Carnivora; Mustelidae.